Molecule: long non-coding RNA, 813 nt
Filed under: Pogona vitticeps (central bearded dragon)
Lineage: Eukaryota; Metazoa; Chordata; Lepidosauria; Squamata; Agamidae
Description: lncRNA (ENSPVIG00000009774.1)
Source: RNAcentral
GGGUAACACAGCGUGAAAACAGGAAAAAAUGUCCCAGGUUUUGUCAGCAUUUUGCUGACACCCCAAUGUAUCCGCACAUUUUUUUUAAAGGGAAGAAGAGGGGCAGAGAAACAGAGGAAGGAAUACACCCUGCUGCAGAGUUGUAGACAAACGUGCUACAUCUGAUUUGACUAAAAUAUGUGGAAUGGUUAAAAAACAUAUGAACUACUAUCGCAGGAUAUUUGUAACAUGACCACAACACAUAACUCUACAGGAAGCAGAAGAUGCAAGAAAACAGGGAGGCAUUUCUCUACUGUGACCAUGGUCCCACCUCCACUUAAGUGAUAUGUGAUGAGCAUACUUAAAAAUGUUUUUGAGCCUUGGAAGGACAAAAAGCAUCCGUUUAAAAGUUUUUCCCUGCAGUCCCCCUCUCCGUGUUUCUGUUUGAACUUAAAUGAAAUGGAAAAGGAAUGAGAAGUUGAUCAGAAAAGUUCUACCACUUCACAUAUAUCUCUUAAUGUCAAUUUUGUUUUUAACUGGGAAUGAUAAUAUAUUGUACCGACAAUAGCAAUUGUGAAACUAGAUGUUGGUUUGGAAGUUUUAAACUACCAAUCACAGCAUCAGGAGCUUAUUUAUGUGUUCAUCCUUUAAUAUGAUUUAUACCACCUUCUGUCAGCAGUGCCCCUUUGCUUUCUACCACAGAUGAACAGGGCAAUCUCUGUGUAAAAGAAUUAAUAGAUGCAAAUCUGACACAAGGAAUGGCAACAGAGAGAAAGCAGUUUCAGAACAUUUCACCCUCCCAGCACACUGGAUUGUGAUGCCCCAACCUUGCCA